CGAUACUUUUGCAACUGUAUGCUGUGUGACUGAAGACUCCUUACAACUUGAUGUUGUGUUUUGCCUAAUACUAAAUCACUUGUGUGAGUGUAUUAACCCACUUAUCCAACAUCUGGUGUUUUUAAAUACUACACUAUUUUGUGAUGUUUCUAUUGUAGCGUUAUGGUUUUAUGUACAAUGAUGUACAAUGAUGAUUUAGAG
Molecule: non-coding RNA, 201 nt
Organism: Pelobates cultripes (western spadefoot toad)
Lineage: Eukaryota; Metazoa; Chordata; Amphibia; Anura; Pelobatidae
Source: the annotation of a GenBank genome assembly